Molecule: ribosomal RNA, 384 nt
Filed under: uncultured bacterium
Lineage: Bacteria
Description: bacterial SSU rRNA
Rfam family: Bacterial small subunit ribosomal RNA
Source: RNAcentral
AUUGAACGCUGGCGGCAUGCCUUACACAUGCAAGUCGAACGGUAACGGGCCUUCGGGUGCCGACGAGUGGCGAACGGGUGAGUAAUGUAUCGGAACGUACCUUUCAGUGGGGGAUAACGUAGCGAAAGUUACGCUAAUACCGCAUAUUCUGUGAGCAGGAAAGCAGGGGAUCGCAAGACCUUGCGCUGAUUGAGCGGCCGAUAUCAGAUUAGCUAGUUGGUGAGGUAAAGGCUCACCAAGGCGACGAUCUGUAGCGGGUCUGAGAGGAUGAUCCGCCACACUGGAACUGAGACACGGUCCAGACUCCUACGGGAGGCAGCAGUGGGGAAUUUUGGACAAUGGGGGCGAACCCUCGAUCCAGCCAUGCCGCGUGAGUGAAGAAGG